RNAcentral lists this ribosomal RNA (253 nucleotides) under uncultured bacterium. RNAcentral describes it as "partial 16S ribosomal RNA". It matches the Rfam family "Bacterial small subunit ribosomal RNA", at positions 524 to 776 of the family's 1533-position model. The record is from RNAcentral.
UACGUAGGGUGCUAGCGUUGUCCGGAUUUAUUGGGCGUAAAGGGCUCGUAGGCGGCCAACUAAGUCGGAUGUGAAAUCCCCAGGCUUAACCUGGGAACUGCGUCCGAUACUGGAUGGCUUGAAUUCGGGAGAGGGAUGCAGAAUUCCAGGUGUAGCGGUGAAAUGCGUAGAUAUCUGGAGGAAUACCGGUGGCGAAGGCGGCAUCCUGGACCGACAUUGACGCUGAUGAGCGAAAGCUAGGGGAGCAAACGGG